AAAGCAUUAAGAAUUUCUGAAUCCUCGUCGUUCGAAAGAAUUCUAGCAGCAUCAGGUUUGUCCAGCAGUUGCUUGGCCACAAGGUACCCAGCAAUAGACCAGGUUUGGUAAAGACGAGACUGUUUCCCAAUGAAGCGUGCUCGUUUGGUGUCAUAGUAUUCAGGCCAUUUGUCGAUAGCAAUUCGCCUCUCAGCUACCUCUACAGCUUUUGCAGCAAUCUCUGGUCUGUUCAUCUUGAUAGAUGCUACUGUGAGCUGCACGCAAAGAAAAUGCAAAGAUAAUUAUUCCGAAAACUCACGUAUUCUUUGGGUCACUUCCAGUAAUGAUCUUCCAUUCCUGGUUCUCUAGAGCAGGAUAGCAUAUCUUCAAUGGCAUCUCUGCCACUAAAUCAGACCAUUUGGAUUCAAUCAGAUCCAAAAUGGCAUGGGAUUGAUGAGUUGUUGCCAAGCUGCUUACUAUGGACCAUAAAUUCCCCAGAGAAAAGAACCGGAAGUCCAUGUGAGCUGGCUGCAGGUUCCCAAUGAAGUAACCUCCUUUAGGAGGUAUCCACUCAACAAGCCACGGAGAAACCUGAUCAGGAUAUAUGUUGAACUUGUUCACAGCAUCAUAGGAAUAUUCUUCUGUUUUAUAUCGAUAAAUCUCAUUCAGCUUCUGCAUGUCAACCCAAUAGUACUCUCUAAUAUGAAAGGACAGUGCGAUAAGCCUAUUGUUUAGAGCACGUAUUAAAUCAGCUGAUCCAUCUUCUGGGGUUAACAUUUCACGCGCGCACAGGAGAGCUGAAUAGAACAGUGCCUGAAUUUCAAGUGGAUGCCCAUGAAUUCCCAUUCGACGAUCAAUCAUGCAUGAUCCAUCAGUUACCAGUAAUGUAGGGAACAUGUCAAACCCAUCAGCUAAACAAAGCUUUAAUAUCAUUUUAAUUCCAGUCUGAACAUCAAUUCUCUCCUGAACUGUCAGAUCUCCUGAACACUUUCCAUACGCCCUAAGUAAUAUGAUCCACCAUAGACCUGAAUCAACAGGUGCCACACGGCCUAUUGCUGCCUCCCCAAAAUCAGGAUCCAAGACCUCCUCAGUUGCAUCUUCAUCUCCAUCGAGUGGAAUUGUUCGCACCUUGAAGCUAGCAGGCAUUAAGCCCUGUCCUGGACUAUGGCAGUCCAUUGUCUUCUCCCAGCUCUGAAGCUGAAGGGUGUGCAAAAUGAAAUUGCGCACAAUUUCGUACUCUCCCUUCAAUAGAAACGCGAUGCCAGAUGGUAUGAAAUCCCGAAUAAACACCUGAUCAUAAUUCAUCGGAUUGGCAUCAUUCGGGUCGUUGGCAGCAAUCGUCCCGACCGGACUACCACAAUAGUAAACCACGGACUCCCGCAAGAGCUCCCAAGCUUCAUCCUCCACAGAAGACGCCUUCCGCCGCUGGGGCGGAGGCUUGGCGGCGCUCCCGUUUACGCUCCC
RNAcentral lists this small RNA (1443 nucleotides) under Oryza sativa Japonica Group (Japanese rice). Its description in RNAcentral is "sRNA Os02g0529450". Lineage: Eukaryota; Viridiplantae; Streptophyta; Magnoliopsida; Poales; Poaceae. The record is from RNAcentral.